GCCGGGCGUGGUGGCGCCUGCCUAUAGUUCCAGCUACUCGGGAGGCUGAGGUGGAAGGAUCGCUUGAGCCCAGGAGUUCUGGGCUGUAGUGCGCUAUGCCGAUCGGGUGUCCGAACUAAGUUCGGCAUCAAUAUGGUGACCUCCCGGGAGCGGGGGACCCACCAGGUUGCCUAAGGAGGGGUGAACCGGCCCGGGUCGGAAACGGAGCAGGUCAAAACUCCUGUGCUGAUCGGUAGUGGGAUCUCGCCUGUGAAUAGCCACUGCACGCCAGACUGUGCAACAUAGCGAGACCCCGUCUCU
This 300-nucleotide signal recognition particle RNA is filed under the name Aotus nancymaae (Ma's night monkey). Its description in RNAcentral is "Metazoan signal recognition particle RNA (ENSANAG00000010942.1)". It matches the Rfam family "Metazoan signal recognition particle RNA". Rfam says of the family: The signal recognition particle (SRP) is a universally conserved ribonucleoprotein. The record is from RNAcentral. Lineage: Eukaryota; Metazoa; Chordata; Mammalia; Primates; Aotidae.